Molecule: non-coding RNA, 72 nt
Organism: Caenorhabditis brenneri
Lineage: Eukaryota; Metazoa; Nematoda; Chromadorea; Rhabditida; Rhabditidae
Source: the annotation of a GenBank genome assembly
GCGUCCAUGGCGCAGUGGGUAGCGCGCUUGCUUUUGAAAUUUCACACCCGGGUUCGAUUCCGCGUGGGGGUA